GCCCGGCGUUCCCUCCCCUUCCGUGCGCAAGUGGAGGCCGGGGUGGGGCGGGGUGGGGCGGGGCGGGGCAGGCGCAGCCUGGACUGAGUUUGCAGGGCUUUUCCCCUCACCCAACCCCUUCGAGUCCUCCGCGGGCUCCGCCCCACCCGGCCCGUGGGGGAGGUUCCGUCCCGCCGCCUUCGCCCGCGCGCUGCACUCGCGGACGAUCUCUGCUCGCCUUGGGCGCGCCAUGGCGCGCGGGGCUGCGCUGGCGCUGCGGCUCCUCGGCCUGCUCCGCCGUCUGGUGGCCGCCCCGGGCUGACUUUGACUUAGCGAUGCCUUUCCUGAUGGAGGAAACAGUGACCCAGCACCACCUAAUGCCCCCAAACCAAAGCCAGAUCCAAACCCCAACCGACCUGGUUUCACUGGGGCUGACUUUGACUUAGCAGAUGCCUUUGGUGAUGGAGGAAACAGUGACCCAGCACCACCUAAUCCCCCCAAACCAAAGCCAGAUCCAAAUCCCAACUGACCUGGUUUCACUGAUGAGAGCCUCUAACCCUAUGGGGUGGUCUCUAUGUUGUUUACCUGGCAGUGAUGUCCGUGUCAUCUGAGAAGAGGAGAUUUCAGGUGAGCCUGUUCCCACUGUUGAAUUACAAGGUAAUUCCAGUGUUCAAGUAGUGGAAAACCUAGAUUACAAAAAUAUGAUUUUGGUUUGGAUUUUAUUUUCCUUUUCUUGAUUUUACUUCAAAGAUAAAUGGAACUUCCAAAUAAUUGAAUAAGAGCUUUUAGAUGUAGACUUGAUAUGAGGAAAAGAAUCUGUGUGUUUCCCAUGGAGAAGCCAACUUGUUUUAAACAAUCAGAUUUUGACUGAAUGUUUUUCUUUACAUGUUUGUUUAAUUUUUAACACAGAAAUCUAUCAAGAUGGUCUAAAUCCUGUUGACAUUUUUAUGGUUUUUUGCUGGUUAUGUUAUUAUUGGCAUAACAAUAUUACUUGACCAUUUUCUCAUAUCAUUUAAUCAUUUGUAUCAUACGACUUUACAUUAUUAUACUACAGACUUAAUUACAUACUUUGGUUUCUUUAACUAAUCCCUAAUUCUGAAGUUAUGUUUCUUCUGAUGUUUUGGAAUUAUCAAUUACAAAGCAAAUUUGACUGCCCUUCGUGCACUUUCCUUUAUGUUUGGAGAUAUAUUUCUAGAGUGCAGGUUGUUUACAUCGAUGUGUGUGAGUACUUUUGUAGCUUCUGACAUGGUUUUGAAAUUGCCCCAGAAUUGCACCAAUUUAUUUUGAUGGCGGCGGGGUGUGCAGAUGACCCUUUCCUCACACCGUCUCCGAUAUUGGUGUUCACCAAAACAUCUUUCUCCAGUAGUGCAAAAUGUCAUGCUAACCUUGUCUUAGUUUCACGUCUUUAAUUCUGAAACUUGAAACAAAAACAAUGCAUCAGUGGGCCAUGGAGACUUCUUCUGUGUAUGGGAUACUGUGUCUUUUAUUCUUCUAUUCUGCUAUGUCCUCCCUGAUUUCUACUCAUUUUUGAAUUAUUUAUAGACAGUAAACAUUGCCCAAUAUAUUAUGAAAAUGUGUUUCCACUUUAUUGUUGCCUCUGAAAACAUUUUGAACAGAAGCUUUUAUAAGCAAGGCUUGAAUUUUUCUUUUUUAUGUUGUCUUAGGUUUGUGUGAGUUUCCACCUUUGUGUAACACAUUUUUCCUGUUAACAGAACCAUUUUAUCACUGUCUCUCUUCCUUCUUGGGAAAAAGAAAACCAUCUUUUUCUUUUCAUUUGAAUUACUUACAACGAUGAAUUGAUUUAUAGAGUGCUAAAAUAUUUGUAAAAUCGAGCAGAUUCUUCUGUGUGCCUUUUUCUCCUGGUGAUUUAUUUAAAUGGAUUUCUAAGGUGUUUUCCCGUCAGUAUCGAUUUGUUUUGGUGAGUACGAUUUUAUGUGCGCUAUUUGUCUCUCUAUUUCUGAACUGUAGCAACAUUUUUGUGCAUUCUCUCUCACUCUCCACUGAAUGAUGAACCCUUGUGAACUUCCAAUUGUUUUCUCUUCAUUUCUUAAUGUUUCUAAGAAGACCGACAUAUUAUUUGUAAGUGAUUUUAAAAUUUGUCUCCUUUUCUAUGUUUUUUCGUUGUCUUCAGAGUGCAUUCGUAUUUUCGUUGAAUUGGCUUUGCUAGAGAACACAUGAUGGCUUUAAGUAUGAGUGAAUAGAGUAGACAUUUUUUAUUCCUGACAUCAAGGUAAAAACCUAAAGAGGUUCACCUGUAAAUAAAAUAAAUUGUCUUUACAAAACCAGACACUCAUUCCAAGAAGAUCUCUCUGUUCUAGUAUACUUUUUUUUGUAAACAUACAAUAGUAUAGGUUCUCAUACUGUGAGACUUCUUAUUUCUUUAUACACAAUAUAUUUGAAAAAUCAUUGGUUUUUUAGUGAUUACUAAUGUACUGUUACAUGGUUUUGAAAAGUGUUGGAUCAAAGUUUCCUUCAUUUAAGCCUCUUUUUUCCCCCUUCCCCAUAUAAAAAGUUCAUGAUGGCCAGGAAUAGAGGUUCACACAUAUAAUCCCAGCACUUUGGGAGGCUGAGAUGGGACCAUCUUUUGAGCCCAGGAGUUCAAGACCAGCCUGGGCAACAUAGCAAAACCCCCUCUCUACAAUGAAAUGAAAAAUUAGCCAGGCAUGGUGGCACAUACCUGCUGUCCCACCUGCUUGGGAGGCUGAGGCAGGAGGAUUGCUUGAGGCCAGGAGGCGGAGCCUGCAGUGAGCUGUGGUCACACCACUGCACUCCAGCCUGGGUGACAGAGGAAGACCCUGUCUCAAAACAAACCAAAAAUGGUUCCUCGAGUUCAGUUAGGAUUUGAAAAGCUUAGAACUGGAAGGCAGCCUCUGAAAUUAUCAAGAAUGUCACAGCAGUUUGUGGAACACCCCUGGGUGGGUAGACCCACCUUUUAGACACUCUCUAGCCCAAAUCCGAUCACAGUCAUUCUUCCUCCCCUCUUAGGGUCUCCCUCACAGAAGGUGUUGGGGGCCUUGGACCAGAUGUUGAUGGGAUGGGAAUAAACAGGGGCAAAUUAUGUGCAGGCGAAGUUGGAGUUCCUGCUCUGUCCGGGAGCAGAAUUGAUUUAUGAAUUACUUUCUCUCUCUCUUUGUAUCUAUCUCUUUUUUCUCCCUCUCUUUCUCUCUCCCCCCAGCCACCUUCUGAUCUCUAAUCCAUUCAUGUGAGAGAAGAGUGAUGUGAAAAUGGUCAGCAAUUUGCUUUUUCUGAUGAGAUCCUGGUGAGAGUCAUGUUCAAUAAAGUAUUUAGUCACGUGGGGCUCCAGUGAUUUCUCUGUUUACAAGCUCAUUCCUUCCUCAUUUCUCAGAACUUUGGUGUUAACAGCCCGUUUCCUAUUUGUAGGGGCUGACUUUGACUUAGCAGAUGCCUUUCGUGAUGGAGGAAAUAACACUCAUGAUGGCAACUCUCAUUGUCACAAACAGACGACCCAGCACCUCCUAAUUGACCCAAGCUGAAGCCAAAUGCGAACCCUGAGCAGCCUGGAUUCAUCGAUUGCUGAUUUUACUUCCAAGAUUGUAUGGAACGUCUAAAACACUGAGCACAAGAUUUUCAUAUGAACUUGGUAGAGAGAAAAUGGCCUGUGCAUUCCUGUAGAGAAACUUGGGUGUUUUCGAUGUUUUUGCCCUUGAAUAUUUGUAUCAGCUAUUUUGACACAUGACAGCAUUCUCAGGGGAUGACUUUGACUUAGCAGAUGCCUUACAUGACAAAGGAAACUAUGAGCCAGCACCACUGAACCCAGCCAAACCAAAGCCAAAUCCAAACCCCAAGCAGCCUGAUUCCACCGCUCAUUGAAACAUUUUAGGGAGGAACAUUUCUGCAUUGACAACAGCUUUAAAUAUUUAAUUCGUUCUUUGAAGAAACACAAGAAUCUGUGACGCAGAAGGGAAAUGAAAAGGAAAGCUUAGUCUCCAUUUAGUUAUGUUCCUCAUAAAUAUUUCCCAGAGGCAAAGAUGUUCUCUUUCAUAUUAAAAAUACAAAUAAACACUUCACUUCUCAUUAGCCCGAGAAAAUAUUGUAGAGAUUUUCAUUAUCCAAAAAAGGCACACUUUCAAGACACAUGGAACAGAGACGGCACAUUGCCUUUGCUUCUGGCUAGCAUGUCUGGCUAUUGACCGGAUUUUAUUUUUCAAUGACUAAAAUAAUAUAUUAACUAAAUGGUAAAAUUCAUAUUCAGCAUUGGCUUGAGGGCGUCGGAGGGUUUUGGCUGGCCCAGUCAUCUCUACCAGUGAGGAAAGCAAGGAAAUAGGUCAUUUCACUCACGGACAGCUUGAAAACAGAGAUUUCAUGGAGCUUCCUCGUUCCGUCAGCCUAGAGUGGGAUUUUGGCUGUCACCCUUCAAGGAUGAAAAGGUGCAGAGGACAUUGGGCUACAGACAGGGAGCUCGUUUAAAUGAUUUAAAAGUUUUGGUCAGGCGUGGUGGCUCAUGCCUGUAAUCCCAGCACGUUGGGGCGCCGAGGCGGGUGUAUCACCUGAGGCCAGGAGUUCGAGACCAGCCUGACUAACAUGGAGAAACCCCAUCUCUACUAAAAAUACAAAAUUAGUCGGGUGUGAUGGCACAUGCCUGUAAUCCCAACUACUCUGGAGGCUGAGGCAGGAGAAUUGCUUGAGCCUGGGAGGCGGAGAUUGUGGUGAGCCGAGAUCGUGCUAUUGCACUCCAGCCUGGGCCACAAGAGCAAAACUCCGUCUCAAAAAAAAAAAAAAAAAGUUUCCAUCUGGCUGGACACAGUGGCUUAACGCCUGCAGUCCCAGCACUUUGGGAGGCUGAGGCAGGUCAAUCACUUGAGUUCAGGAGUUCAAGACCAGCCUGGCCAACAUGGAGAAACCCCAUCUGUACUAAAAAUACAAAAAUUAGCCAGGCGUGGUGGCGGGUACCUGUAAUCCCAGCUACUCUGUAGGCUGAGGCAGGAAAAUCACUUGAACCCUGGAGGCAGAGGUUGCAGUGAGCUGAGAUUGCACCACUGCACUCCAGCCUGGGCGACAGAGCAAGACUCCAUCUCAAAAAAAAAAAAAAAAAAAAGUUUCCAUCUAAGCGAGCUCUGUUGGUUCUCCCACCUCUGACCUUACGAGUUUUCUUCUUUAACCUGCACCUUGUUCUCUGAGUCACUUUGCACUUUAAGGUACAGCUACAGCUUCCCCAUCAGACUUGUUGGUCUUUUAUCAAAGGAUGAAAAAGUUCUUCCUCCUUUGGGUCUUUAACCCUGUUUCCUGGUGUAAGACAGCUUUUAUGUUUGCUACCUGCUGGAAUCAACUUGAAAUUUUCUCCCAGAAAAGUUUUGAAUUUAUCUUGUUCAAGUUACUUGUGGUCAAUAAGUUAAUAAAGAUAGGUAGACAGACAGACAAAUACAUUGAUACAGAUAGAUAGAUUCAUGAUAGAUGAUUGAUUGAUAGAUAGAUAUCACAUAGAUACAUAGAUAGAUACAUAGAUUAGACCUGAUAUAUACAGGGUGGGUGGAUAGAUAAAUGAAUAAAUAGAUAGAAAGAUAUUACAUAGAUAGAUAGAUACAUAGAUUAGACCUGAUAUAUACAGGGUGGGUGGAUAGAUAAGUGAAUAAAUGGCUAGAUACAUGACUGAUUGAUAGAUGAUAGAGAUUAGAUAGAUAUAUAGAUACAUAGAUUAGACCUGAUAGAUAUAUGGAUAUAUAUACAGGAUGGGUGGAUAGAUAAAUGAAUAAAUGGCUAGAUACAUGAUAUAUAUAGAGCCAAUAUAUACAUAGAUACAUAGACAGGGUAGGUGGAUAGAUCGAUGAAGACAUGGAUAGAUAAAUAUACACAGAGAUAGAUCAAUGAUAGAAAUGGGUAUAUAGAUAUACGAAUGAUAGAAGAUAUUUUGAGAGAGAGAUGAUUAAUAGGCAAUUGAUUGACAUAUUAGGUGAUAGUUAAAAAGUGGGUAAAAUGCAAGUCAACUGUAAGCCAAACGUCCACGUGGAAUAGCAUGGGAAGCAUUGAGAAGACACUUUUUGGUGCUACCUGUUUAAACAUUGAAAAACUGAGCUAAUACCCUCCACAGUAAGAUAGAGGGGAGGGCACUGGGAAUUUAUACCUCCCAGGAAAAAUAAAUCAUGGUAAACAGGCAGAGAUCUUUCCAGAUUCCAGUUCUUGGGGGUAAAAGGUCCCUGAGAUGCCCAGUUUGUGACAACCUGUUCUGAACUAUUCAGCUCAAGGUUUCCAUUUUUUCUCCCAGCGGAGUUGCCUCGAUUCUGAUGUGUUUGCUUCGGUGCUCUGUAUAUUGUAUUCAUCCCACUCUUCAAUUCAUAAACUCUGGAGAUUGUCCAAUUCACUGGGCAAACCAUAUGCCUAAGUCUAUCCUCUGAUGGAGGCUCAUACAUGCAAAAUCCAAUAGCAACCUGGGAAGAUUUCAGUCAAGACCCAAGAGGAGGCUGGCAUCAGGCUCUCGGUCACCCAUCUUCACAUUCAGGUUUCCUGAUGCACUUGCAACUCUUUGGGCAACCUCUGGACUCCUUGUUCCCAGGGUCCACAUUUAGUUUUAUCUUUACUGCAUUGCUUUUAUGAAAAAGAAUAAAAUUGGAUGAAAUAGAUACAGAGUAUUGGUGUCAACCUAAGUAUUGGUGUCAACAAAGAGAUGGUUUGGAUCUGGUUCCCCACCACAUCUUAGGUUGAGUUGGAAUCCCCGGUUUGGAGGUGGCGCCUGGUGGGAGGUGACUGCAUUAUGCGGGUGGUUUCCAUUGAAUGGUUUACCACUGUCCCCCAUGGUGCUGUUGUGGCGGAAGUGAGUUAUCAUCCAAUCUGGUUGUUUAAAGGGUGCAACAACUUCCCCACCCCGUCCUGCUCCUGCUGUGGCCAUGUAAGACGUGCCUGUUUCCCCUUUGCCUUCUGCCAUGAUUGUAAAUUUCGUGAGGCCUCCCCAGCCAUGCUUCCUGUACUGCCUGUGGAACCGUGAGCCAAUUUAAACCUCUUUUGCUUUAUAAAAUUACCCUGUCUCAGGUAUUUCUUUAUAGCAGUGUAAGGACUGAGUAAUAUACUCUGUAAUAGAAAAGAUGUUUAUUUGGGAGUAUAGUAGUGCCAUGAGAAUAGAUGUGCCAUAUUAAACUACGUUCAUAUUCAGGCAGGUAAAGGGGAAAAAAGGAUUUUAAAGGAAAUAAUGAAGAGGAUUCCAUAAUUCUUUUGAAAUGAUUAUCCUUGGCUAAAAAGAUCAGUAACAUGGUGACACCAGUCUGAGUUUGGACAGCCAGUUUUUGGGCAGAUGUCCUCGUGGAAGUAUUUUUUUUUUUGCAAGGGUGAGAUUUUUGCAGUCUCUUACGAUAGUUUUUGUUAUCAGGCAUAUAAGCAUAAAAACCAUUAAUAUACACUAGAGAUGCAUUGAAGAGCUUAUAAAAUUGUUAAGGUUUUCUUCUUUGGUCAGUGUCUAAAAUAUGAGUCAGAUAGUUCCUUGGUUAUCUUUGAGAUUUAUAUGGUCCCAGGUUUCUCCUGGGUGGGUAGAAAUCACUGCAGCAUGUACAAAACUGUCCUUCAUGCCAUACUUCUUCCUACCAUUAUACGAUGAAAACUAACAAAAGAGAGUUUUAUAAAAUGUUCUUCCUCUUUCUCUCUGGUACCAAUAGGAAGCACAAUUGUUUUCCCGUGGUUCUUCACAAAGGUUCUAUUGCACUAAGUUUUAAACCCUUGUGUAUACACAAUCACAUUCACAUAUACCACACAUACACGUGCAUAUACACAGUUACACACAUCCGUACAGAUACAUACAUGCACAUGUAUACACAGAUAAACACAUACAUGCACAAAUAGACACACAUUCACAUAAACAUGUAUGCAGACACACACAGAUAUACACAUAUACCUAUGCACAGAAACCAUACACCGAUAUACACAUACAUGACAUACAUGCACAGGUAUACAUACAAACAUAUACACAGAUAUGUGCAUACACAUAUACACACAUAACACAUGCAUGCACACAUAUCCACAAGCCUGCAGAUAUACACACGUACACACAGAUAUGCAUAUUCAUACAUACCAAACAUACAUUCAUACUUACACCUAUACACACACAUACACAAACACAUACAGAGAUAUACACACAUGCACACAAAUACAUACACACAUACAUACAUACACAGAUACACAUGUACAUACAUACAUACUUACACCUACACACAUACACAAACACAUAUACACAAACACACAUACACAGGGAUAUGCACAUGCACACAGAUACCCACAUACACACGUACAUACUCGCAUAGAGUUAUACACACACAGACACACACACACACACACACGUGCACACGCAACUUUGGCAUAAUGGAAAUUUGAUGAUUGGUCAUUGGAGUCAACCAUACAGCCCCUGUCAGAAACAAAGGACCAAAGUCGAAGGGGACAUGGAUGUCACAAACAUCUCAACAUCUACGGAACCACGUAACUUGGAGAAACAUGCAACUGACUAAGGACAGAAGAUUCGAGUGACUGCACCUCUGUUUUUUUUUUUUUGAGAUGGAGUUUCGCUCUUGUCACCCAGGCUGGAGUGCAAUGGCGUGAUCUCGGCUAACUGCAACCCCCGCCUCCUGGGUUCAAGCGAUUCUCCCGCUUCAGCCUCCUGAAUAGCUGGGAUUACAGGUAUGCACCACCAUGCCCAGCUAAUUUCAUAUUUUUAGUAGAGAUGGGGUUUCUCCGUGUUGGUCAGGCUGGUCUCGAACUCCCAACCUCAGGUGAUCCGCCUCCCUCGGCCUCCCAAAGUGCUGCGAUUACAUGCGUGCGCCACCGUGCCCGUCCUAACUGCAGCUCUUACUUUGGAAUUCAGGCAGCUAUGGAGCCAAGAUUCCUGGAGCCCACUGGCGUAUGGCUAAUACAUUUCCCUUCCUUUCCAUAGAAUUGGGUUGGUUUUGUUGCACUGGGUGUCUGGUAGCUCCGGAGAGAACAAAUAUAAAUGUGAAAAUGCAUACCUUGGUCAUUAGUGUUUCUCAACAAUUCUCCAUCCCACCCCACUUAACAAGGCCUCUGCUAGAACUCUGGGGUCCGUUCCAAGAGGAAAAAACAUCCCUGCCUAAAAGAAGCAAAUGGAAGAAUGUAUUCUAUGCUGCCAUGUGUGUUCUCAUCAGGCCUUAUCUAAGUUUCUCACCAGGAGAUGUUGAAAAAUAUUGCUUGAUGGACGAAGGGUAACGUACUGCAGUUGUUUAUUGAGAAAUGCCAGCCGUCAUCUCGUGCUCGUUAGCUGCUCUGAAUGCUCUUAGAAGGCACCAUUCAUGCCGCUGUAUUUGGGACUACUGAAUUGUGCCCAUUCCUUGGUGUUACGCAUGUCUCUUGUUGAUGAAGUUCUAACCACAGUGCCAUUGUGAGGCUGGAAAUGUCCUUGGGUGAAAAAGCGGCCCCUGGGUCACCUGCCCCAUGAUUCAGGUGCAUGUGAACCCCUCUAGUGCUUUACUGCCAGGGUCCAGGAGAGAGGGAAAGAAUGUCACUGUCCCAGCAUCCUCUAAUUUACUUGACAACACAAUUGUUCCAGUGUCGGAGUUUUGUUUUGUUUUGUUUUUGAGAUAGAGACUCGCUCUGUCCCUCAGACUGGAGUGCAGUGGCACGAUCUCGGCUCACUGUAACCUCUGCCUCCCGGGUUCAAGUGAUUCUCCUGCCUCAGCCUCCUGAAUAGCUGAGAUUACAGGCACCUGCCAUCAUGCCUGACUAAUUAUAUUUUUGUAGAGACGGGGCUUCACCACGUCGGCCAGGCUGGUCUUGAACCACUGACCUCAGGUGAUCCGCCUGCCUCAGCCCCCAAAAGUGCUGGGAUUACAGGCCUGAGCCACCAUGC
Gorilla gorilla gorilla (western lowland gorilla) is the source of this 9772-nucleotide long non-coding RNA. RefSeq lists it as uncharacterized. NCBI's taxonomy places the organism in Eukaryota, Metazoa, Chordata, Mammalia, Primates, Hominidae. The transcript is spliced from 10 exons. The record is from RefSeq and is a predicted model, not a curated record.